GACGAACGCUGGCGGCGUGCUUUACACAUGCAAGUCGAACGGAAAGGCCCUGCUUUUGUUGGGUGCUCGAGUCGCGAACGUGUGUGUAACACGGGAGUAACCUGCCCUUGACUUUGGGAUAACUUCAGGAAACUGGUGCUAAUACCGGAUAGGAGCUCGUGCUGCAUGGUGGGGGUUGGAAAGUUUCGGCGGUUGGGGAUGGACUCUCGGCUUAUCAGCUUGUUGGUGGGGUAGUGGCUUACCAAGGCUUUGACGGGUAGCCGGCCUGAGAGGGUGACCGGCCACAUUGGGACUGCGAUACGGCCCAGAGUCCUACGGGAGGCAGUAGGGGGGAAUAUUGCACAAUGGGCGGAAGCCUGAUGCAGCAACGCCGCGUGCGGGAUGACGGUCUUCGGGUUGUAAACCGCUUUCGCCUGUGACGAAGCGUGAGUGACGGUAAUGGGUAAAGAAGCACCGGCUAACUACGUG
RNAcentral lists this ribosomal RNA (468 nucleotides) under uncultured bacterium. RNAcentral describes it as "partial 16S ribosomal RNA". It matches the Rfam family "Bacterial small subunit ribosomal RNA", at positions 28 to 507 of the family's 1533-position model. The record is from RNAcentral.